AAUGAACGCUGGCGGCGUGGAUUAGGCAUGCAAGUCGAGCGCCCCGCAAGGGGAGCGGCAGACGGGUGAGUAACGCGUGGGAACGUACCCUUCGGUUCGGAAUAACUCAGGGAAACUUGAGCUAAUACCGGAUACGUCCGAGAGGAGAAAGAUUUAUCGCCGAAGGAUCGGCCCGCGUUGGAUUAGCUAGUUGGUGGGGUAAUGGCCUACCAAGGCGACGAUCCAUAGCUGGUCUGAGAGGAUGAUCAGCCACACUGGGACUGAGACACGGCCCAGACUCCUACGGGAGGCAGCAGUGGGGAAUAUUGGACAAUGGGCGAAAGCCUGAUCCAGCCAUGCCGCGUGAGUGAUGAAGGCCCUAGGGUUGUAAAGCUCUUUCAGUGGGGAAGAUAAUGACGGUACCCACAGAAGAAGCCCCGGCUAACUUCGUG
This 431-nucleotide ribosomal RNA is filed under the name uncultured bacterium. Its description in RNAcentral is "bacterial SSU rRNA". It matches the Rfam family "Bacterial small subunit ribosomal RNA", at positions 29 to 507 of the family's 1533-position model. The record is from RNAcentral.